Molecule: ribosomal RNA, 1537 nt
Filed under: Bordetella pertussis
Lineage: Bacteria; Pseudomonadati; Pseudomonadota; Betaproteobacteria; Burkholderiales; Alcaligenaceae
Description: bacterial SSU rRNA
Rfam family: Bacterial small subunit ribosomal RNA
Source: RNAcentral
AGAGAUUGAACUGAAGAGUUUGAUCCUGGCUCAGAUUGAACGCUGGCGGGAUGCUUUACACAUGCAAGUCGGACGGCAGCACGGGCUUCGGCCUGGUGGCGAGUGGCGAACGGGUGAGUAAUGUAUCGGAACGUGCCCAGUAGCGGGGGAUAACUACGCGAAAGCGUGGCUAAUACCGCAUACGCCCUACGGGGGAAAGCGGGGGACCUUCGGGCCUCGCACUAUUGGAGCGGCCGAUAUCGGAUUAGCUAGUUGGUGGGGUAACGGCCUACCAAGGCGACGAUCCGUAGCUGGUUUGAGAGGACGACCAGCCACACUGGGACUGAGACACGGCCCAGACUCCUACGGGAGGCAGCAGUGGGGAAUUUUGGACAAUGGGGGCAACCCUGAUCCAGCCAUCCCGCGUGUGCGAUGAAGGCCUUCGGGUUGUAAAGCACUUUUGGCAGGAAAGAAACGGCACGGGCUAAUAUCCUGUGCAACUGACGGUACCUGCAGAAUAAGCACCGGCUAACUACGUGCCAGCAGCCGCGGUAAUACGUAGGGUGCAAGCGUUAAUCGGAAUUACUGGGCGUAAAGCGUGCGCAGGCGGUUCGGAAAGAAAGAUGUGAAAUCCCAGGGCUUAACCUUGGAACUGCAUUUUUAACUACCGGGCUAGAGUGUGUCAGAGGGAGGUGGAAUUCCGCGUGUAGCAGUGAAAUGCGUAGAUAUGCGGAGGAACACCGAUGGCGAAGGCAGCCUCCUGGGAUAACACUGACGCUCAUGCACGAAAGUGUGGGGAGCAAACAGGAUUAGAUACCCUGGUAGUCCACGCCCUAAACGAUGUCAACUAGCUGUUGGGCCUUCGGGCCUUGGUAGCGCAGCUAACGCGUGAAGUUGACCGCCUGGGGAGUACGGUCGCAAGAUUAAAACUCAAAGGAAUUGACGGGACCCGCACAAGCGGUGGAUGAUGUGGAUUAAUUCGAUGCAACGCGAAAAACCUUACCUACCCUUGACAUGUCUGGAAUCCCGAAGAGAUUUGGGAGUGCUCGCAAGAGAACCGGAACACAGGUGCUGCAUGGCUGUCGUCAGCUCGUGUCGUGAGAUGUUGGGUUAAGUCCCGCAACGAGCGCAACCCUUGUCAUUAGUUGCUACGAAAGGGCACUCUAAUGAGACUGCCGGUGACAAACCGGAGGAAGGUGGGGAUGACGUCAAGUCCUCAUGGCCCUUAUGGGUAGGGCUUCACACGUCAUACAAUGGUCGGGACAGAGGGUUGCCAACCCGCGAGGGGAGCCAAUCCCAGAAACCCGGUCGUAGUCCGGAUCGCAGUCUGCAACUCGACUGCGUGAAGUCGGAAUCGCUAGUAAUCGCGGAUCAGCAUGUCGCGGUGAAUACGUUCCCGGGUCUUGUACACACGCCCGUCACACCAUGGGAGUGGGUUUUACCAGAAGUAGUUAGCCUAACCGCAAGGGGGCGAUUACCACGGUAGGAUUCAUGACUGGGGUGAAGUCGUAACAAGGUAGCCGUAUCGGAAGGUGCGGCUGGAUCACCUCCUUUAAGA